UACGGAGGAUGCAAGCGUUAUCCGGAAUGAUUGGGCGUAAAGCGUCCGCAGGUGGCAAUGUAAGUCUGCUGUCAAAGCGUCUGGCUCAACCAGAUAAAGGCAGUGGAAACUACAUAGCUAGAGUAAGGUAGGGGUAGAGGGAAUUCCUGGUGUAGCGGUGAAAUGCGUAGAGAUCAGGAAGAACACCGGUGGCGAAAGCGCUCUGCUAGGCCGCAACUGACACUGAGGGACGAAAGCUAGGGGAGCGAACGGG
This 253-nucleotide ribosomal RNA is filed under the name uncultured bacterium. RNAcentral's name for it is "partial 16S ribosomal RNA". It matches the Rfam family "Bacterial small subunit ribosomal RNA", at positions 524 to 776 of the family's 1533-position model. The record is from RNAcentral.